Molecule: ribosomal RNA, 300 nt
Filed under: Escherichia coli
Lineage: Bacteria; Pseudomonadati; Pseudomonadota; Gammaproteobacteria; Enterobacterales; Enterobacteriaceae
Description: bacterial SSU rRNA
Rfam family: Bacterial small subunit ribosomal RNA
Source: RNAcentral
UGAACGCUGGCGGCAGGCCUAACACAUGCAAGUCGAACGGUAACAGGAAGAAGCUUGCUUCUUUGCUGACGAGUGGCGGACGGGUGAGUAAUGUCUGGGAAACUGCCUGAUGGAGGGGGAUAACUACUGGAAACGGUAGCUAAUACCGCAUAACGUCGCAAGACCAAAGAGGGGGACCUUCGGGCCUCUUGCCAUCGGAUGUGCCCAGAUGGGAUUAGCUAGUAGGUGGGGUAACGGCUCACCUAGGCGACGAUCCCUAGCUGGUCUGAGAGGAUGACCAGCCACACUGGAACUGAGACA